Non-coding RNA from Lonchura striata (white-rumped munia), 1370 nucleotides. The record is from RefSeq and is a predicted model, not a curated record. Lineage: Eukaryota; Metazoa; Chordata; Aves; Passeriformes; Estrildidae.
GGCGCAGGAAAGGUUGCUUGCCUGAAUUCAGGGCUGCAGCCGAACUGGUUCCUCUGCCACUGCCAGCCAUGGGACUCGUGGAGUGGCAGAGAGGGAUGGAGGCUGCCUAAAGCCACUCAAGGCACCCUGUGGCUGGUGGGGCUGCCGUGGGUCCUGCUGGGACACAGCGGGGAGAAGAGCACUUCCCGGUGCUCUGCAGUGGCCAGCUGUCCUCUUCCCCUCUUCCAGACCUGGAACAUCUCCUGCUCUUUAGUUCCUGCUGUGCCUCUUCUGCUUGCCCAGAGCGCAGUGCUGCUGGUUAUCCCUCCCUCAUGGAAGUCACGGAGGCCUGACCCUGUGUGCUGGCUGCUGUUAAUGUUACUGACUCCAGCACCAACUCCCAUGAAAGCCAGGCUGGGGCCCCCCUGCAGGCAGAUCCCUACUGGAGGAGACUCUGUGGCUGUGCAUCUGACAAGGAGAGGUGUUGGAUAUGCCUUCUCCCAGGCUGCGCUGAGUCCCUGGCACAUCCUCCAAAUGGGUGUUUAAUCAGAAUCCAAGGUAGAGAGCAGACAGGUUUCACCUCUUUAAUCACCACCACUGAAGUAUUUCCACCAUACUGCAGUGCAUGGGGGAGAUUCUUUAUCCCUCCUGGAGCCAUCUCCACAUCUCCUUCAGUUGCCAAGGCACGGUGUUGGUUACAGGAGCAGACUUGGGCAUGACUGAGGAGGCCAAAGCUGGAGCUAUUACCUGGUCAGGAGGCUAAGUGGCACAUCCCUGGAUAUCCAGUGCCAGGAUAUCCAGGAUACCCAGUGCCUUGAGACGCAGCAGCAUCAUCUCUGGCCAUCAACCAGAACUGAGGGGUGAAUGCUGCAGUUUUCCCUCUCACCCAGCCCUGGGAAAAGCACUGAGACCUGUACAUCAGAUCUUCUCCCUCCUCUCCCCAGGUGGAAAUGGGGAAGUAAAAACCUUAAUCCCUCCCUCUCCUGGACACAAUGGGAAAGAGAAGCUGUCUUUGCUUUCCACUACCUUGCAGCUGAAAGGAGGAGGAGAAAAGUGAAUGUGGAAAAGGAGAAAGGAGAGGCUUUGGGCAUGGAGAUUCCCCUCAAUGACCACUCUGGAGUCUGCUGAAACCUGAAAUGAGUUGGGUGGGCAGUCUGCAUUGUGGCACCCCUGGUUGUAGAGAAAGAUUUUCCUGACUCAUACAGUAACAGUACAGGGCAAUCUGGGAAGGCAACCCAGAGAAAAAUCUGUCCCACCUGUGGUUGUGUCAGGGGUGUUGCUGGUUGUUAUUUAUAACAUUUAAUUAUUAUUUUUUAACUUGUCCCAGUUCUUCCCAGGCAGAGAAGGUCAUUCCAGCCAUUGCCCAGGAAAGAAGAUGGUGUUAAACUGGU